Long non-coding RNA from Brassica rapa (field mustard), 610 nucleotides. RefSeq lists it as uncharacterized. The record is from RefSeq and is a predicted model, not a curated record. Lineage: Eukaryota; Viridiplantae; Streptophyta; Magnoliopsida; Brassicales; Brassicaceae.
CCUGCCAUUUCAAGAACAUAAAGUGAUGUCUUCUAAAUAUUCGUUUUGCCGGUCAAGAAAAUAAGAUUAUGUCUUCUAACUAUUUGUUUCUUCAUUUUUUUUGAGUGAGUAGGAGGUUCUGAGUUCGAAAGUCCGUACAUCUUUUAUGACAAGGCCAGACCAUGUUAAAUUAACUCUUCUUAUAAGAGAAGACUCCUCCGAAGGGGAAUCAAACACAUGACCUCUUAAGACCCUACUAGCCGUGUCAUUCAAGAGAAAAAUACUGUAAGGUACAGAUUCAAGGAUGAGAUUACUUACUCGGGAUCGAGGUAACCGAUUGUGCCAGCCACAACGGUUGAAAUCUGAUCGCUUCCUUCAACAGAGAAGCUUCUGGAUAAACCGAAGUCCGCAAUCUUGGCUUGGAUCUUCUCAUUUAGUAAGAUGUUCGUUGGCUUCACAUCUCUGUGAACUAUAGGAGGCUUACAACCAUAGUGAAGAUACUCUAGCCCUGAAUAUUUUACAAUGAGAAAAGGACCCUUCAUUGAUCAAUUUUCACAUAUUGGUUUAGUUUCAUUUCAAAAUGUUUGCCAAACAAACCUUGCGCUGCAUCUAGUGAAAUCUUUAACCUCUC